This 484-nucleotide long non-coding RNA is filed under the name Setaria viridis. Its description in RNAcentral is "long non-coding RNA (SVIR_LNC000485)". The record is from RNAcentral. Lineage: Eukaryota; Viridiplantae; Streptophyta; Magnoliopsida; Poales; Poaceae.
CUUAUUUUUAGCACGUGUCACAUCGAAUGUUUAGAUACUAAUUAAGAGUAUUAAACAUAGACUAUUUACAAAACCCAUUACAUAAGUGGAGGCUAAACGGCGAGACGAAUCUAUUAAGCCUAUUUAAUCCAUCAUUAGCAAAUGUUUACUGUAGCAACAUAUUGUCAAAUCAUGGACUAAUUAGGCUUAAUAGAUUUGUCUUGCCGUUUAGCAUUCACUUAUGUAAUGGAUUUUAUAAAUAAUCUACGUUUAAUAUUCCUAAUUAGUAUCUAAACAUUCAAUGUGACGGUUGUAAAAAUAAGCAGGAGGAGCCAACCAGGAACGGCGGACGGCCGCGCACUCGCCCCUGCGCCCGUGACCAACGUGUCGACCGCGUCACGUGCGUCGCGGCAGGAGGCAGGGAGACCGCAGAGCAGUUAGGAUGGAUGGAUGGGCUGGCCAGUGAAAUGUUUGAUGGCUCGGCCCACAGUGAAGCCCAAUUGUG